This 520-nucleotide ribosomal RNA is filed under the name uncultured Oceanobacillus sp. RNAcentral describes it as "bacterial SSU rRNA". It matches the Rfam family "Bacterial small subunit ribosomal RNA", at positions 33 to 507 of the family's 1533-position model. The record is from RNAcentral. Lineage: Bacteria; Bacillati; Bacillota; Bacilli; Caryophanales; Bacillaceae.
CGUCGAUCGAGACGACGCUGGCGGCGUGCCUAAUACAUGCAAGUCGAGCGCGGAAUCUCUUCUGAUCCCUUCGGGGUAGAAGAGAGUGGAACGGAGCGGCGGACGGGUGAGUAACACGUGGGCAACCUACCUAUAAGACUGGGAUAACUCGCGGAAAGUGAGCUAAUACCGGAUAAUACUUUUUAUUGCAUAGUAAGAAGUUUGAAAGGCGGCGUAAGCUGUCACUUAUAGAUGGACCCGCGGCGCAUUAGCUAGUUGGUGUGGUAAAGGCUCACCAAGGCAACGAUGCGUAGCGACCUGAGAGGGUGAUCGGCCACACUGGGACUGAGACACGGCCCAGACUCCUACGGGAGGCAGCAGUAGGGAAUCUUCCGCAAUGGACGAAAGUCUGACGGAGCAACGCCGCGUGAGUGAAGAAGGUUUUCGGAUCGUAAAACUCUGUUGUUAGGGAAGAACAAGUCAGGUAGUAACUGACCUGACCUUGACGGUACCUAACCAGAAAGCCACGGCUAACUACGUG